GACGAACGCUGGCGGCGUGCUUAACACAUGCAAGUCGAACGGAAAGGCCCUGCUUUUGUGGGGUGCUCGAGUGGCGAACGGGUGAGUAACACGUGAGUAACCUGCCCUUGACUUUGGGAUAACUUCAGGAAACUGGGGCUAAUACCGGAUAGGAGCUCCUGCUGCAUGGUGGGGGUUGGAAAGUUUCGGCGGUUGGGGAUGGACUCGCGGCUUAUCAGCUUGUUGGUGGGGUAGUGGCUUACCAAGGCUUUGACGGGUAGCCGGCCUGAGAGGGUGACCGGCCACAUUGGGACUGAGACACGGCCCAGACUCCUACGGGAGGCAGCAGUGGGGAAUAUUGCACAAUGGGCGGAAGCCUGAUGCAGCAACGCCGCGUGCGGGAUGACGGCCUUCGGGUUGUAAACCGCUUUCGCCUGUGACGAAGCGUGAGUGACGGUAAUGGGUAAAGAAGCACCGGCUAACUACGUGCCAGCAGCCGCGGUGAUACGUAGGGUGCGAGCGUUGUCCGGAUUUAUUGGGCGUAAAGGGCUCGUAGGUGGUUGAUCGCGUCGGAAGUGUAAUCUUGGGGCUUAACCCUGAGCGUGCUUUCGAUACGGGUUGACUUGAGGAAGGUAGGGGAGAAUGGAAUUCCUGGUGGAGCGGUGGAAUGCGCAGAUAUCAGGAGGAACACCAGUGGCGAAGGCGGUUCUCUGGGCCUUUCCUGACGCUGAGGAGCGAAAGCGUGGGGAGCGAACAGGCUUAGAUACCCUGGUAGUCCACGCUGUAAACGGUGGGUACUAGGUGUGGGGUCCAUUCCACGGGUUCCGUGCCGUAGCUAACGCUUUAAGUACCCCGCCUGGGGAGUACGGCCGCAAGGCUAAAACUCAAAGGAAUUGACGGGGCCCCGCACAAGCGGCGGAGCAUGCGGAUUAAUUCGAUGCAACGCGUAGAACCUUACCUGGGUUUGACAUGGAUCGGGAGUGCUCAGAGAUGGGUGUGCCUCUUUUGGGGUCGGUUCACAGGUGGUGCAUGGCUGUCGUCAGCUCGUGUCGUGAGAUGUUGGGUUAAGUCCCGCAACGAGCGCAACCCUUGUUCACUGUUGCCAGCACGUUAUGGUGGGGACUCAGUGGAGACCGCCGGGGUCAACUCGGAGGAAGGUGGGGAUGACGUCAAGUCAUCAUGCCCCUUAUGUCCAGGGCUUCACGCAUGCUACAAUGGCUGGUACAGAGAGUGGCGAGCCUGUGAGGGUGAGCGAAUCUCGGAAAGCCGGUCUCAGUUCGGAUUGGGGUCUGCAACUCGACCUCAUGAAGUCGGAGUCGCUAGUAAUCGCAGAUCAGCAACGCUGCGGUGAGUACGUUCCCGGGGCU
RNAcentral lists this ribosomal RNA (1346 nucleotides) under uncultured bacterium. RNAcentral's name for it is "partial 16S ribosomal RNA". It matches the Rfam family "Bacterial small subunit ribosomal RNA", at positions 28 to 1381 of the family's 1533-position model. The record is from RNAcentral.